This 283-nucleotide small nuclear RNA is filed under the name Octodon degus (degu). RNAcentral's name for it is "7SK RNA (ENSODEG00000024143.1)". It matches the Rfam family "7SK RNA", at positions 1 to 295 of the family's 331-position model. Rfam says of the family: 7SK was discovered as an abundant small nuclear RNA in the mid-70s but a possible function has only recently been suggested. Two independent studies have found that 7SK RNA binds the CDK9/cyclin T complex (known as elongation factor P-TEFb). Lineage: Eukaryota; Metazoa; Chordata; Mammalia; Rodentia; Octodontidae. The record is from RNAcentral.
GAAUGUGAGGAUGAUCUGGCUGCAGCAUAUGUCACCCUGUUGAUCAUCAGGCUCAAUUCAAUGAAUCUGGCUGGCUAAGUGAGUGUCCUUUUCCUCCCUCAUGAUUCUUUUGAGGACUUCCUAAGGCUGGGUACUCAGUGGAAAAGGGUGUCCACCCUGACAGAGAAAGACCCUUUCUCAUAAGUCAAGAGAAUAGGAGUAACUGUGCUCUCUUGCUAGAACCCACAAUUAAGUGCUCCAGAGUAUCUUUUAAUGUCUGAUUUCUUUCAUUUAAUUCAUAGUU